RNAcentral lists this long non-coding RNA (202 nucleotides) under Elaeis guineensis (African oil palm). Its description in RNAcentral is "long non-coding RNA (EGUI_LNC046340)". The record is from RNAcentral. Lineage: Eukaryota; Viridiplantae; Streptophyta; Magnoliopsida; Arecales; Arecaceae.
UCUCUUGUACUUAAGAAUUAAUCGAUGAAAUCGGAUUCCUCUUUACAGAGAGCUCCUUUUUCUCCUUCUACUUCUUUUUUUCUUUUUUUUUCUUACAAUGAUUUGCGUUGUGAUGCUCUUGUUUUCCGACAACAGUACCCUACCGAAGCUCUUCCCCUACCGUAGGAGAUUCCUUUGAAGUCUAUGAUCUGAGAUCUGAGAA